Long non-coding RNA from Rhinichthys klamathensis goyatoka, 326 nucleotides. RefSeq lists it as uncharacterized. The record is from RefSeq and is a predicted model, not a curated record. The transcript has 5 exons. Lineage: Eukaryota; Metazoa; Chordata; Actinopteri; Cypriniformes; Leuciscidae.
GCCAACUCUAGAGGAACACACUGAUGACAUCACUGAUGCAGACAGCCAUGCUUUAGAUGAUGACGAUGACAGUGAUUCCCAUGGUGAUGAAGUCGGGGUUGAAGAUGCCACGGAUGCUGCUUCUCAAACACACGACAAACCAGAUCAUCUUGAUGACACAACACAAGGAUCAGAUGAUGGCAGCAAAACCCCCAUGCCAAGCUCCUAGCAACCAGGACUCUGCAAAGACAUUGUAACAGAAUUUUCCUGGAGAGACGUAAAAAGAAUCAACUGAGACAGUCAUGAUAACCAGAGUUUCACGUCCCAUUAAAACACAUUGACACGUC